This 483-nucleotide ribosomal RNA is filed under the name uncultured bacterium. RNAcentral's name for it is "bacterial SSU rRNA". It matches the Rfam family "Bacterial small subunit ribosomal RNA", at positions 31 to 507 of the family's 1533-position model. The record is from RNAcentral.
GAACGCUAGCGGCAAGCUUAAUACAUGCAAGUCGUGGGGGCAGCGCGUUGUAGCAAUAUAAUGGCGGCGACCGGCAAACGGGUGCGUAACACGUACGCAAUUUCCUUCGAGCAGGGAAUAGCCCAGAGAAAUUUGGAUUAAUACCCCAUAAAAUUUUGAGAUGGCAUCAAGGAACUAUUAAAGUCACAACGGCAAAAGAUGAGCAUGCGUCCCAUUAGCUAGUUGGUAAGGUAACGGCUUACCAAGGCUACGAUGGGUAGGGGGUCCUGAGAGGGAGAUCCCCCACACUGGUACUGAGACACGGACCAGACUCCUACGGGAGGCAGCAGUGAGGAAUAUUGGACAAUGGGCGCAAGCCUGAUCCAGCCAUGCCGCGUGCAGGAUGACGGUCCUAUGGAUUGUAAACUGCUUUAUACAGGAAGAAACACUCCGACGUGUCGGAGCUUGACGGUACUGUAAGAAUAAGGAUCGGCUAACUCCGUG